This 71-nucleotide transfer RNA is filed under the name Methanomicrobiales archaeon. Its description in RNAcentral is "tRNA-Cys". It matches the Rfam family "tRNA". From Rfam's summary of the family: Transfer RNA (tRNA) molecules are approximately 80 nucleotides in length. Their secondary structure includes four short double-helical elements and three loops (D, anti-codon, and T loops). Further hydrogen bonds mediate the characteristic L-shaped molecular structure. tRNAs have two regions of fundamental functional importance: the anti-codon, which is responsible for specific mRNA codon recognition, and the 3' end, to which the tRNAs corresponding amino acid is attached (by aminoacyl-tRNA synthetases). tRNAs cope with the degeneracy of the genetic code in two manners: having more than one tRNA (with a specific anti-codon) for a particular amino acid; and 'wobble' base-pairing, i.e. permitting non-standard base-pairing at the 3rd anti-codon position. The record is from RNAcentral. Lineage: Archaea; Methanobacteriati; Methanobacteriota; Methanomicrobia; Methanomicrobiales.
GUUCGGGUGGCAGAGAGGCGAUGCGUCCGACUGCAGAUCGGAACAGAUGAGUUCAAUUCUCAUCCCGGGCU